This 223-nucleotide ribosomal RNA is filed under the name uncultured bacterium. Its description in RNAcentral is "partial 16S ribosomal RNA". It matches the Rfam family "Bacterial small subunit ribosomal RNA", at positions 111 to 334 of the family's 1533-position model. The record is from RNAcentral.
UAACACGUAGAUAACCUGCCCUGAAGUGGGGAAUAACAGCCCGAAAGGGUUGCUAAUACCGCAUAAUCUCGCUGUUGUUAGAUGGUGAGGAAACACCGCAAGGUGGCUAUAGGAGGGGUCUGCGGCGGAUUAGCUAGAUGGUGGGGUAAAGGCUUACCAUGGCGACGAUCCGUAGCUGGUCUGAGAGGACGGCCAGCCACACUGGGACUGAGAUACGGCCCAG